UUCAGGUUCUGAAAAAAGGCACAACAUAGUAUUUCUAAAGAUGACCCAUAAGAUUUAAUAAAUGGUUGGACUCUAUCCCCUACAUAAUGCAGCCCAAGUUGUUUUAUUGAACUUAUCAUGUGGGCCAGCCCAAUUCGUAAUUUAGCAAGAAUGUUUGUUAAACUUUUUUUUUUAAUUCAUGACCAUACAAAAAACAAAAAAAGGAACUCCAUGAAUGAGAAAAAGUUAAAAAAAAAACAAGUGAAAAAUGAAAAAUAAAAAUGUUUAACGGAUGGUAAUCUUUAAGAAAAUUUUAUUCGGAAAGAGCUGUAGUUAUGCAUUCAAUCUGGGAUGCCAGUGAUAGCCAUGGAAACAUAGACAAGCGAACCUACACUUUGAAGCAUAAACAUUAUGAAGACUUUCAAGACAUCUGUAUUCUUUAAGAUCGACUGUUGAUGUUGAGGUAUGUUCUAUUGGAGAUCAAUUAGAACAAGUAAGUAAUAUGCUAUGCAUCAAUAAAUAGGAGAACCGUUUGAAGCAUG
Molecule: non-coding RNA, 521 nt
Organism: Arachis ipaensis
Lineage: Eukaryota; Viridiplantae; Streptophyta; Magnoliopsida; Fabales; Fabaceae
Source: RefSeq, a predicted model, not a curated record